CUGCAGCCAAUAAAGCUGACUAUACUACAGUAGCCUCCUUGGUAGUGUAUGCAGCUUGUUGAUUGUAUGGGUUGCCUUAAGGGACCUUAGAGACAGCC
This is a small nucleolar RNA of Mustela putorius furo (domestic ferret), 98 nucleotides long. Its record names the gene SNORA70. It matches the Rfam family "Small nucleolar RNA SNORA70". Rfam says of the family: snoRNA U70 seems to be exclusive to mammals and is a member of the H/ACA class of snoRNA which contain H (ANANNA) and ACA box motifs. Lineage: Eukaryota; Metazoa; Chordata; Mammalia; Carnivora; Mustelidae. The record is from Ensembl.